UGAGUAACGCGUAUGCGACCUGCCCGUUGCAGGGGGAUAAUCGGGAGAAAUCCCGUCUAAUACCGCGUAAUGCCGCGGGGCUGCAUGGCCCUGCGGCCAAAGGGAGCGAUUCCGGCAACGGAUGGGCAUGCGUGACAUUAGCUAGUUGGCGGGGCAACGGCCCACCAAGGCGACGAUGUCUAGGGGUUCUGAGAGGAAGGUCCCCCACACUGGUACUGAGACACGGACCAGACUCAUACGGAAGGCAGCAG
Molecule: ribosomal RNA, 251 nt
Filed under: uncultured bacterium
Lineage: Bacteria
Description: partial 16S ribosomal RNA
Rfam family: Bacterial small subunit ribosomal RNA
Source: RNAcentral